AAACUUUCAACAACGGAUCUCUUGGUUCUGGCAUCGAUGAAGAACGCAGCGAAAUGCGAUAAGUAAUGUGAAUUGCAGAAUUCAGUGAAUCAUCGAAUCUUUGAACGCACAUUGCGCCCCUUGGUAUUCCGAGGGGCAUGCCUGUUCGAGCGUCAUUUAACCUCUCAAGCUCUGCUUGGUGUUGGGUGCUGGCCCACCAGGGCCCGCCCGUAACUCGUUGGCGGUUGUCACCGGCUGAAAGCGUAGCAAAAUAUGCUGGAGCCCGGAGGCGGCCUGUCAGGUACCCACAAUCAAAAGUUUGACCUCGGAUCAGGUAGGGAUACCCGCUGAACUUAAGCAUAUCAAUAAGCGGAGGA
RNAcentral lists this ribosomal RNA (356 nucleotides) under Pleosporales sp. RFK111. RNAcentral's name for it is "partial 5.8S ribosomal RNA". The stretch from base 2 to 155 matches the Rfam family "5.8S ribosomal RNA". The record is from RNAcentral. Lineage: Eukaryota; Fungi; Ascomycota; Dothideomycetes; Pleosporales.